UACGGAGGGUGCAAGCGUUAUCCGGAUUCACUGGGUUUAAAGGGUGCGUAGGCGGAUAGGUAAGUCCGUGGUGAAAUCCUGCAGCUUAACUGCAGAACUGCCAUGGAUACUAUUUAUCUUGAAUAUCGUGGAGGUUAGCGGAAUAUGUCAUGUAGCGGUGAAAUGCUUAGAUAUGACAUAGAACACCCAUUGCGAAGGCAGCUAACUACGCGAUAAUUGACGCUGAUGCACGAAAGCGUGGGGAGUCAAACAGGA
RNAcentral lists this ribosomal RNA (255 nucleotides) under uncultured bacterium. RNAcentral's name for it is "partial 16S ribosomal RNA". It matches the Rfam family "Bacterial small subunit ribosomal RNA", at positions 524 to 777 of the family's 1533-position model. The record is from RNAcentral.